ACCCUUUGUGCCCAUGAUGGUUCAGAGUUCUCUGAUAUGACCCUGAGCACUUCACUCACCUUCCUCAAUUCUUCACCUCCUUCCUACUUCUCUUCCAGAAAGUACAGAGAGGGCACUCUCACUAUACCACCCUGCUGAAGCUACCAUCAUCUCUGGCCUGAGCUGCUGUAGGACCUCCCCCGUAUAGUGGCCCUGUCAUUGCUUCUACUCCCUCCAAUUUAUUCUCCACCAAGAGUCACAAGUGGUCCCAAGGCUUCCAGUUUCUGAUUCCAUCAAGAGCGUAGCCAGAGAGAGGAGAGGGGAGCAGAGACUCCUGGGGCCUGCCUACAGGUGAGGUACUCCCAAAGGCCACCAGGGGAUAGUCACUCACCUUAUCCCAGAGAGAGGAUGGAUUCCGGGGCAAUCCGAGACAGAACAGAGUCCACUCCCACUUCUUAAUCCCUGUCUUGCAGCAGCAGGCACCACACCCUCUCUACCGUGGGGCCUGGUGUGUACACACUACCCCGCUGCGGUUGCCUAGGAAACCCGCCCUCCGCCUCCCGCGACCUCUGGGUGGGGAGGGGGAGAAAGGGGCGGGGAAAGCGGUGGCCGACUCGUUUCUGGAUCACGUGGUGGCAAGCUCCAACCAAUCAGCAGAGGUCGGGGUCCACCCGGAAGACCCUGCUGGUGCUCCUGGGAAAGGGUGGGGAGCUUCCCGAGCUGCGGGUCAUUUGAUCCCUGCAGGUAGCUUUUCACUCACCUUCGCCGGAUCAGAGGCCCGGAUGGGAAGCGACGACUUAUGGCGGGGACUUAGUCGUUGCCUCUUCCAGUCCCGGCUCUUUCCUACUGAAAAUCUUUGACCUUCAUUGGAAGCCCGGAGCCUCGCUGGACUUGAACCCCGAAGACACGACGCUGUGAUGUCAAGGCGGCCAGAUGGUCGGAACAGGCCCUGAUGCCCCCCGCGCGCUCUUGGUCCUGCGGCCCGCCACCACCGCCCUCCAGGAGUGUAGCUGACUGCAGCCCGAAGCCGCUGAGCGCAGAGCGAGCCGAAUGGAAGGACAGCGCAGGCCUACGUAACGCCCUGGUGCCCUUCAGAGAAGACAUAGGACCUCCAAGGGUCUUCUUGUCGUUCGUCGACAGACUUUUGAGGGCCGUUUAUGUAUUCCAAAGUGUACAGGAGGCCAAAAAAUUUUACAAGAUAAAAUUUAAAGAGGGAAAGGAAAGAACUUUUAAAAGAGUGGGCAGAGGGGCUGAGAAAUGAAUGAACUUAGGCAAAUCAAAGUAACUGCAGGCCUCGUUUCAUUUUCUAGAUCUGCGCUGUCCCACAUGGCAGCCACUAGCCACAGCCACGUGAAAUGUGGCUAGUCCGAAUUGAGUUGUGCUGUGAAACACACAUGGUAUUUUGAAGACCUAGCAUGAAAAAAAUAUGUAUUGAUUACAUGUUGAAAUGAUAAUGUGUUUUGAUAUAUUGGUUUAAAUAAAAAUGCCUUAUUAAAA
This is a long non-coding RNA of Orcinus orca (killer whale), 1476 nucleotides long. RefSeq lists it as uncharacterized. The transcript is spliced from 3 exons. The record is from RefSeq and is a predicted model, not a curated record. NCBI's taxonomy places the organism in Eukaryota, Metazoa, Chordata, Mammalia, Artiodactyla, Delphinidae.